AAAACUCAAGUGAUCAAGCGGUC
RNAcentral lists this small nuclear RNA (23 nucleotides) under Arabidopsis thaliana (thale cress). RNAcentral's name for it is "snRNA_10660". The record is from RNAcentral. Lineage: Eukaryota; Viridiplantae; Streptophyta; Magnoliopsida; Brassicales; Brassicaceae.